GCCACCACGCCCGGCUAAUUUUUUUGUAUUUUUAGUAGAGACGGGGUUUCACCGUGUUAGCCAGGAUGGUCUCGAUCUCCUGACCUCCUGAUCCGCCCGCCUCGGCCUCCCAAAGUGCUGGGAUUACAGGCGUGAGCCACCGCGCCCGGCCGGUACUCCGAAGCCCUCAGAUCGGCGACCUGGGCGCUGUAGGCACCGAGAAAAUACAGGCACCGAGCCAGAAGCAGUGCCGCAACCAAGAGACCUCGGCUUGGCGAAAUGGCGGCGUCUGGAGCCUGCGAGUGACGCCAGCUGGUGGGGCUGUCAAGGAGAACAUUCGUUACGGCGCAACCAACGGUACUGUCACCAAGAAACCGUCGUCUCUGAGAAAAAAAGAGACGUUCGGCCGCCGAGAAACUCCGUACAAGUGCUGUGACAGAAAAACCGCCGGCUCCGCGCAGCGGCAAAAGAGCCAACGGGAACGCCGGGUGCUGCGACCAUGACCCCGGCACUGGAGGACGUGGGAUGGAGAAUGGGACACACGGAGCGAGAAGGGAAACGUUUCGUGCAGACCAACUAGCGCCGCCGCCACCGGAAAACUGACUCGCCAGUGCUGCCAAUGAAGUGCGUGUGAGAAACCGAUGACUGGUGGGAGGAGCAGCGCUGGGCGCUGGACCCGCGAGUGUGAGAAUCUGGCGGCGCUAGGACCCUUCAGGCGCGGGCACGAGGCGAAACCCAGCGCUGUUGCCAAAGACAAAUGCGCGUUCUUUUGGGCGCCAUCAGCGGUGCAGCCAGUGAUCACUCCCAGGCUCUGAGAAACUAGAGAUGUCAGCCACAAACCCUCCGUUCAGGGAAAGUUUGCGGCGCCGUGACGGAUCGACUGGCACUGGGUGCAACAUUGUCUUGUGGCCUAGAGACUAGAAUAUAAAAACAAAAACCAAAUACAAAACUGCUGCUGGCAUUACUCCUACUCUCCCCCCUCAAGUCAGUGGCUUCAGGCUUAAGAAAACCUGUAUUUUUCUUGGCUGUGCCAUAAUCCGUAAUUACCGAGGCCCCCAGCGACCCACCCAGUGUGAUUCGCAGAGGGAAAGGAGCUGGAAUAAGGACCGUGAAUGGGGCGGAUGUGGCUCGUCCUGGGAGAGAGCUAAAGCUUAUGCUGGUCGCAAACAGCAUUACAUUGCAGGAAACUGCUCUUCCAAUGGCCGUGGCUGGGUCCUUCCACACCAUCCCUCUGCCCUAGACCUUUGUCCCCGUUCAGAGCCAUCAGAGAUUCUAGGAGAGCUGUCGACAACCGCAUCUCUUCGGAACUUGGAAACUCUAGGUUCAAGAUCUCCGUGGAGAAUGAAAGGCACAGUCGCCUGACCCGGGCAUCAGGCUUGCCCCGCACAUCAAGUCCCUCCCCUACUGGAUGGAACUCUGUGGCAAUCGCUCCUUAUUCUGAUGGUUCACUCUGUCAGAUAUCCUCGAUAUUUGGGGAUAGUAGUUCAAAAACAGCCGGGGAGGAAAAUGGGCUGAAAGAUUCCAGCGUUGGAUGUAGAAUUGACAGCGAGACAUACACCUCCUCUCUAAGCCCAGAGAAAAGCUCAAGUUGUGGUUCUCUGUCUCUAGCAGCAUGAUCUUCAAAAUGCAUCAUUGAUUUCUAUCUUCUGGGAAAUGCAAUGCAGGUGAACUUGAGGAAAUCAGUGGUGCUUCAGGAUAUUGUGAAUUUGGUCUUCUGAAAGCAGAAUUCUGAUUUAACAGUAUAAUGGAAUUCGUGAACGUCAUGAUGCUAAUUUGAACCAACAAGCACCCUUGUGAGAGGAAUCUGCUUUUCCUCAAGUCUGAAGAACACCAGGAGAAUCUUUCUGUAUGGAGUUACCAGGAAUCCUCUGCUAAGGAAAGUGAAAGGGAAGAUGCAAUUUCUCCUGGGAAGGGGGGAUGCUGAUGUAGAGGGUGACAAGUAAUAUGCCAUGAAGGAUUCAGUCACCUGGUUAGAUUUAGAGUUAGAGUUAUGGUUAAGGAAGAAGGAAGGAAAAAAGGCAGAAGAGGAAGAAAGGAAGCAAGAAAAGAUAAAAUUUAUUCUAAGAUAAAAUUUGUGAAUUUUGCUAAACUAUAUAUAUUUAUUUAUUUAUUUAUUUUAUUUAUUUAUUUAUUUUUGCUGUCAUUAGCCAAGAUAAGGAAUCUUCAAGUUGAGUAAGACUGGAUUUAGAAUUGUCUGGGGGCUUUCAAAAGAGCCAUUCAGUAAAUAAGAAAGAAUACAGGCCUGCAGCACCAGAGUCUGAGCUGGGGGCAUAGGUUUGUGUGAAUUUGGGCAUGGUGGCUCAGGUCUGUAAUCCCAGCACUUUGGGAGGCUGAAGUUGAGGACUGCUUGAGCUCAGGAGUCUGAGACCACCCUGGGCAACAUGGGGAGACCCCAUCUCUACAAAAAAA
Homo sapiens (human) is the source of this 2388-nucleotide long non-coding RNA. Ensembl annotates it as ANXA2R overlapping transcript 1. Its record names the gene ANXA2R-OT1. The record is from Ensembl. Lineage: Eukaryota; Metazoa; Chordata; Mammalia; Primates; Hominidae.